GACGAACGCUGGCGGCGUGCUUAACACAUGCAAGUCGAACGGAAACGCCCUUCUUUUUUGUUGUGCCCGCGUGCCGAACGCGUUAGUAUCACGUUUGUAUCCUGCCCUUCUCUUUGGGAUACCUUCACGCAACUGUGCCUACUCCCGGAUCGUAUCCCCUCUUCCGUUGUGGGCGUUGGAACUUCUCGGCGGUUGCGGAUGGACUCGCGGCUUAUCAGCUUGUUGGUGGGCUAGUUGCUUACCAAGGCUUUGACGGAUAGCUGGCCUGAGAGGGUGGCCGGCCACAAUGGGACUGAGAGACGGCGCAGACGCCAACGGGAGGCAGCAGUGGGGAAUAUGGCACAAUGGGCGGAAGUGAGAUACGAAAACGCAGAGGGCGGGAAGAAGGUCUGCGGGGUAAAAAACGCAGUCGGCUGUGACGAAGCGGGGGUGACGGUAACGGAUAAAGAAGCACCGGCUAACUACGUG
This 468-nucleotide ribosomal RNA is filed under the name uncultured bacterium. RNAcentral describes it as "partial 16S ribosomal RNA". It matches the Rfam family "Bacterial small subunit ribosomal RNA", at positions 28 to 507 of the family's 1533-position model. The record is from RNAcentral.